AAAAUAACUUUUCAUUUAUAAAUACACACACAGUCAUCUUCUUCCACUCACCCCUCACCCACCCCACCUCAAAUCCAAAAUCCACUCGACCAUCACCACCUUCACCCCCACAACCAUCUACUACUGCUCACCAUCAUCUACCCCAUCACAAUAGCCACCCAACAAGCUCCAUCACCCAAACCCAAAAAUGCAAAUCAUUUAGAUCUAUAUCAUCAAUCUCCCUCAUUUCCACCUUACUGUACACAAAAGAAACACACGCUCUUCAGAAAAGAUAUAUGCCUCCUACAUACACUGAUUCGGAUCUCAAAUGCAACUGAGCGUAAUCGAACUUGUUGGAUGCUCAACGGGAGAUGUAGGCAUUGAAAGCGAUCGUCGAACCUCCGGGGCUUAGUGGUAUCAGAGCCACACUGAGGAGCACGAUACCUGGAUCUUGGAGAGUUUGGUGGAUCUUCAACAGAUUUGAAAUUUUUGGAACCGCUGAAAAGCAAAUUUGAAACAAUACGAGUUAUUGAACUUGCUUGGUGAGAUCUUUUCAAUUUACUGUAUAUUUCUUUUCAGAAAUUUGUGUUUCUUGAACUUUUCCUUGAUUUUUUAGUACACCAUUGAAAUCCCUUUGAGACUAAUCUUUGUUCAGUAGCUCCUACGAGACCCUUGGAAUAUGAGAUAAAUCAUGUACGGGCAUGUACUUUGGAGAAUUCUGUUGAAGGGAUUUUGUGAAACCUUGUAUUUGAUCUCUGU
Molecule: long non-coding RNA, 738 nt
Organism: Olea europaea var. sylvestris
Lineage: Eukaryota; Viridiplantae; Streptophyta; Magnoliopsida; Lamiales; Oleaceae
Exons: 3
Source: RefSeq, a predicted model, not a curated record